CCUACGGGAGGCAGCAGUGAGGAAUAUUGGUCAAUGGCCGAGAGGCUGAACCAGCCAAGCCGCGUGCAGGAAGACGGCUCUAUGAGUUGUAAACUGCUUUUGUACGAGGGUAAACGCAGAUACGCGUAUCUGUCUGAAAGUAUCGUACGAAUAAGGAUCGGCUAACUCCGUGCCAGCAGCCGCGGUAAUAAGGAGGAUUCAAGCGUUAUCCGGAUUUAUUGGGUUUAAAGGGUGCGUAGGCGGUCGGAUAAGUUAGAGGUGAAAUCCCGAGGCUCAACUUCGGAAUUGCCUCUGAUACUGUUCGGCUAGAGAGUAGUUGCGGUAGGCGGAAUGUAUGGUGUAGCGGUGAAAUGCUUAGAGAUCAUACAGAACACCGAUUGCGAAGGCAGCUUACCAAGCUACUUCUGACGUUGAGGCACGAAAGCGUGGGGAGCAAACAGGAUUAGAUACCCCGGUAGUC
This 460-nucleotide ribosomal RNA is filed under the name uncultured bacterium. RNAcentral describes it as "partial 16S ribosomal RNA". It matches the Rfam family "Bacterial small subunit ribosomal RNA", at positions 338 to 795 of the family's 1533-position model. The record is from RNAcentral.